Molecule: ribosomal RNA, 377 nt
Filed under: uncultured archaeon
Lineage: Archaea
Description: bacterial SSU rRNA
Rfam family: Archaeal small subunit ribosomal RNA
Source: RNAcentral
UCGCGAAAACUUUGCAAUAAGCGAAAGCUUGACAGGGCUAUCCCGAGUGCCAUCCGCUGAGGAAGGCUUUUACCCAGUCUAGAACGCUGGGGGAAUAAGGAGAGGGCAAGUCUGGUGUCAGCCGCCGCGGUAAUACCAGCUCUCCGAGUGGUGUGGAUGUUUAUUGGGCCUAAAGCAUCCGUAGCUGGCUAAGUUAGUCCCUUGUUAAAUCCACCAAAUUAAUUGUUGGAUUGCGGGGGAUACUGCUUGGCUAGGGGACGAGAGAGGCAGACGGUAUUUUCGGGGUAGGGGUGAAAUCCUAUAAUCCCGGGAAGACCACCAGUGGCGAAGGCUGUCUGCUAGAACGCGCCCGACGGUGAGGGAUGAAAGCUGGGGGA